UUGAUAAGAUAAAAUACAAAGAGACCAAAGAGGGAAUGCGGUUAAAAUCCGCAACAGCUCACUCUACUGUAAAAGGGCAACGAAAAUUCAAAAACAGUCACUGCCAAAAGCGGGAAGACCGGAUUAGUAGGCAUUUGGCCCCAAAGUCAGGAUAUCUUUUUGGUUAAAAAUAAAAAGC
Molecule: non-coding RNA, 178 nt
Filed under: Clostridiales bacterium
Lineage: Bacteria; Bacillati; Bacillota; Clostridia; Eubacteriales
Source: RNAcentral